AUCGCUUCUCGGCCUUUUGGCUAAGAUCAAAGUGUAGUAUCUGUUCUUAUCUUUUCGUCAGGCUUGCUGCGUCGCGGAACCUCGU
Molecule: small nuclear RNA, 85 nt
Filed under: Ixodes scapularis (black-legged tick)
Lineage: Eukaryota; Metazoa; Arthropoda; Arachnida; Ixodida; Ixodidae
Description: U2 spliceosomal RNA
Rfam family: U2 spliceosomal RNA
About the family: U2 is a small nuclear RNA (snRNA) component of the spliceosome (involved in pre-mRNA splicing). Complementary binding between U2 snRNA (in an area lying towards the 5' end but 3' to hairpin I) and the branchpoint sequence (BPS) of the intron results the bulging out of an unpaired adenosine, on the BPS, which initiates a nucleophilic attack at the intronic 5' splice site, thus starting the first of two transesterification reactions that mediate splicing.
Source: RNAcentral